CGCAGGCACUCGUCAUGUACAUCUCGGCUACAUGUGCAUAUACGUACUGUACAAUACAUACACGUGCGCCUCGUACAAAUUUCCCUGUUUGUGCUUUUGCUCUUGUUUCCGGAUGAACCUGUAUUACUCGACAUACUGUAAUAACUACACAAAGAUUAUCAACACGGAUUAUACUCUACACAAGGAUUAUCUUGUCACUAGGGUGGAUUUGCAUUUAGUUACGUUUGUUCUAGAAGUCAUGAGCUUUUAAUUAAAUACAUGCGAUGUGGUGAUGGAACUACGUCGACGUGUUUGGCUCUUUCUCAUCCAGUAAUAUUUUAGAGCCACUAAUACAUGAACUGUUGGUGAAAUUUACUGAUAAACGUGAUAUUGCAAGGAAUCGUUUGUGGUAUUCCAUGGACUUCUGCUAGGACAAACGCACUAACUGUUUAGAAAUGUGGAACUGGAAACAAGUUUUAUUAGCCACUAUAAUUCUGAUUUCGAUAGCAUUUCGAGGAGGACGGGCUAUUAAGUGCUACGAAUGCCAUUACGUGAGCGGAACAGACAUUCCUUAUGCUGAAGCUUGGAAUGAUAAGAAAACGAAUUGUCUCAACAGCAAAAUUGUUGAGUGCGAACCAGGCAUAACCCAUUGUCGAAACGGAACGCUCUUUUACACAGGCAGUAGUAAUUUUCGGUAUGAUGCUCAGUACUGUGGGUCCAAAGUGGAGAGAGAAGCUGACAGACAGGAGAAACCCUGUGAACCAUUUAAAGACCGGGAAGCUACCAGCGCUAUACGGUGCCGCUGUGAAACGGAUCUCUGCAAUGCCUUUCCAAAAAAUGAAUCAUCGAGUACGCAGAGCAGCACCCAGCAAAGUAUAGCUUGCCCAUUUGCAUCGGCCAACCAGUCCGCAGAUGGUGGUAUAACGCCGGUUCCGACGGUGUGGUUGCGUUUUGGACUAGGCGCGGGAUGUUUGGCUGUUAGGUUACUCGUACUUGGAUGGCUUGAAAACUGGUAGCAGGCUGGUUCAAGCCGACCCAUUGGGAAGUGCAAAAAGGUUUGCGAAAAGAUGAGAAAGGAAUAAGGCAGUUGGAUGCAAUGGAUCAGUCGGCUCAAUUACGUACACUGAGUCAUUGUGUCAAAUGCAAAUGACCGGUAUAAUUCAAUUCAUGUUUUGCCCUAUGAUUCUUAGGCUCCGAUUAGUCUUUUAAAGCAGCCAUCUGAAAACGUACUGUGCACUGCCUACAGUAAUCAGAUUAAUUGUAAUAUGUAAUUAUUAUGGUUCAUAUUGUGUUACUAUGGCUUAAAUGCUUAGAGAUAUUUUCCUUUACGAAUUUCUUUUUCACAGAUUAAGCUGUAUUUCUGCGAAUACUUAAGGAGCACGACGACAAGAUGUUUUUUUGGAUCAGUGUUGUGGUAUUGUGGUUGGAUAUUAAGUACUAGUAUUAACUAUUAACAUUCUUGAAACGAUCGAGAAUUGUUUAACGUUAUUAUUAAAAGCAUACUUUCGACAGAUAUGCGGUGGUAUUACAAACAACAACUACUACAAAUUUGUAGAACACUGGGCAUCUAGCUAAGGAGCCACAAUUUUGAAUCACAUGCAUGGCUCGUUAUAAGUGGCAAAGUGUGCCAUAGUUUUGUAAAAGCAUCGGUAACUUCCAUAUUGAACGAGUAUAUUUCCCUGGAUGAUCUCCCUAAACUAUGGUCCGAUGGGAGUCGAUAUUUCUGACCACGAUUAUUUUAAGGACAUUUCACAAAGGAGAAGCGAUCAAAUGUUACCACUGCCUGUACGUGAGCGGAGACGUUCCAAAUUUUGAGGCAUGGAAAGACAAAAGAACGAACUGUCUUAACAGCAAUUCCACGGAAUGUAAUCCAGGCAUAACCAGCUGUGAAAACGUAACGUUAUUUUAUACAGGAA
This is an RNA transcript of Paramacrobiotus metropolitanus, 1895 nucleotides long. RefSeq lists it as uncharacterized. The transcript has 6 exons. The record is from RefSeq and is a predicted model, not a curated record. NCBI's taxonomy places the organism in Eukaryota, Metazoa, Tardigrada, Eutardigrada, Parachela, Macrobiotidae.